RNAcentral lists this ribosomal RNA (572 nucleotides) under Vanrija musci. RNAcentral's name for it is "eukaryotic LSU rRNA". It matches the Rfam family "Eukaryotic large subunit ribosomal RNA", at positions 82 to 644 of the family's 3401-position model. The record is from RNAcentral. Lineage: Eukaryota; Fungi; Basidiomycota; Tremellomycetes; Trichosporonales; Trichosporonaceae.
AGUAGCGGCGAGUGAAGCGGGAAGAGCUCAAAUUUGUAAUCUGGCGUCCUUCGGGCGUCCGAGUUGUAAUCUAUAGAAGUGUUUUCCGUGCCGGACCAUGUCCAAGUCCCUUGGAACAGGGUAUCAAAGAGGGUGACAAUCCCGUACUUGACAUGACCACCGGUGCUCUGUGAUACACUUUCUACGAGUCGAGUUGUUUGGGAAUGCAGCUCAAAAUGGGUGGUAAAUUCCAUCUAAAGCUAAAUAUUGGCGAGAGACCGAUAGCGAACAAGUACCGUGAGGGAAAGAUGAAAAGCACUUUGGAAAGAGAGUUAAACAGUACGUGAAAUUGUUGAAAGGGAAACGAUUGAAGUCAGUCGUGUUCUUUGGACUCAGCCGGUUCUUCCGGUCUAUUUCCUUUGAACGGGUCAACAUCAGUUUUGUCCGGUGGAUAAAGGCAGGAAGAAAGUGGCUCCCUCGGGAGUGUUAUAGCUUUCUGUCACAUACACUGGAGGAGACUGAGGACUGCAGCUCGCCUUUUGGCCGGGGUUCGCCCACGUUCGAGCUUAGGAUGUUGACAUAAUGGCUUUAAA